GUCGAGUGAAUAAUGAUGGUGGGCUUCUUCUUGCUUCUCAAAGCUUUGAUGGUGUAGCUGUAGUCCGUAUGAGUCUUUGGCUUUGUAUCUUCUAUGAAGGAAACACUACUUAGGUUUUUAGGAUUCCGUUGCGGUUCUUUUUCUUAUAUUCAAUCAUACACAUCAUAUCAAGUCAUAUUUGACUCCAAAACACUAACCAAGCUUCUUCUUGCUUCUCAAAGCUUUGAUUGUGUAGUCGAAGUCCAUAUAAAUCUCGGACUUCGUAUUUUAAAACAAAGAAACACUACUUAGGCUUUAAGAUCCGGUUGUGGUUCUAGUUCUUAUACUCAAUCAUACACAUGCAAUCUAGUCAUAUUUGACUCCAAAACACUAACCAAGCUUCUACUUGCUUCUCAAAGAUUUGAUAGUGUAGCUAAAGUCCGUAUAAGUCUUUGGCUUUGUAUCUUCCAACAAAGAAACACUACUUAAGCUUUCACGAUCCAGUUGAGGUUCUAAGUCUUAUAUUAAAUCAUACACAUGACACCUAGUCAUAUUUGAUUCCAAAACACUAACCAAGCCUCUUCUUGCUGUUCAAAGUUUUGAUUUUUUGGCCAAAGUCAGUAUGAAUCUUUGGCUUUGUAUCUUCAAACAAGGAAACACUACUUAAGCUUUUAUGAUCCACUUGAGGUUCUAAGUCUUAUAUUAAAUCAUACACAUGACACCUAGUCAUAUUUGACUCCAAAACACUAACCCAGCUUGUUCUUCCUUCUCAAAGCUUCGAUGGUGUAUUCGAAGUCCGUAUGAGUCUUUGGCUUUGUAUCUUCUAACAAGGAAACACUACUUAGGCUUUUAAGAUACGGUUGCGGUUCUAGUUCUUAUACUCAAUCAUACACAUGACAUCUAGUCAUAUUUGACUCCAAAACAUUAAUCAAGCUUCUUCUUGGUUCUCAAAGCUUUGCUGGUGUUCUCGUAGUUCGUAUUUGUCUUUCGCUUUGUAUCUUCGAACAUUGAAACACUACAUAAGCUUUUAAGAUCCGGUUGCGGUUCUAGUUCUUAUACUCAAUCAUACACAUUUG
RNAcentral lists this small RNA (1055 nucleotides) under Arabidopsis thaliana (thale cress). RNAcentral's name for it is "ATSL033870". Lineage: Eukaryota; Viridiplantae; Streptophyta; Magnoliopsida; Brassicales; Brassicaceae. The record is from RNAcentral.